GCCUACGGGAGGCAGCAGUAGGGAAUUUUCGUCAAUGGGCGCAAGCCUGAACGAGCAAUGCCGCGUGAACGAGGAAGGUCUUCGGAUCGUAAAGUCCUGUUGAAGGGGAGAAAGAGCGGAGAGAGGAAAUGGUCUCCGAUUGAUAUUACCCUUCGAGGAAGUCACGGCUAACUACGUGCCAGCAGCCGCGGUAAUACGUAGGUGGCGAGCGUUAUCCGGAAUGAUUGGGCGUAAAGGGUGCGUAGGCGGCCUGCUAAGUCUGGAGUGAAAGGUACCGGCUCAACCGGUACAGGCUCUGGAAACUG
This 305-nucleotide ribosomal RNA is filed under the name uncultured bacterium. RNAcentral describes it as "bacterial SSU rRNA". It matches the Rfam family "Bacterial small subunit ribosomal RNA", at positions 337 to 635 of the family's 1533-position model. The record is from RNAcentral.